RNAcentral lists this ribosomal RNA (888 nucleotides) under uncultured euryarchaeote. RNAcentral describes it as "bacterial SSU rRNA". It matches the Rfam family "Archaeal small subunit ribosomal RNA", at positions 5 to 878 of the family's 1478-position model. Lineage: Archaea; Methanobacteriati; Methanobacteriota. The record is from RNAcentral.
CGGUUGAUCCUGCCGGAGGCCCGCUGCUAUCCGGCUGGGACUAAGCCAUGCUAGUCUAGGGGCUUGUACCCCUUCGGGGGUGCAAGCACCGGCGGACGGCUCAGUAACACGUGGACAACCUGCCCUCGGGUGGGGGAUAACCCCGGGAAACUGGGGCUAAUCCCCCAUAGGUGAUGGGUGCUGGAAUGCCCCAUCUCCGAAAGCGCUUAGCGCCCGAGGAUGGGUCUGCGGCGGAUUAGGUAGUUGGUGGGGUAACGGCCCACCAAGCCUAAGAUCCGUACGGGCUGUGGGAGCAGGAGCCCGGAGAUGGACCCUGAGACAAGGGUCCAGGCCCUACGGGGCGCAGCAGGCGCGAAACCUCCGCAAUGCGGGAAACCGCGACGGGGUUAGCCGGAGUGCCCGUGCAUUGCACGGGCUGUCGGGGUGCCUAAACAGCACCCCAUAGCAAGGGCCGGGCAAGGCCGGUGGCAGCCGCCGCGGUAAGACCGGCGGCCCGAGUGGCGGCCACUCUUAUUGGGCCUAAAGCGUCCGUAGCCGGCCCAGUAAGUCCCCCGGGAAAUCUGGUCGCUUAACGAUCAGACUUCCGGGGGGUACUGCUGGGCUAGGGACCGGGAGAGGCCGAGGGUAUUCCCGGGGUAGGGGUGAAAUCCUGUAAUCCCGGGAGGACCACCUGUGGCGAAGGCGCUCGGCUGGAACGGGUCCGACGGUGGGGGACGAAGGCCUGGGGAGCGAACCGGAUUAGAUACCCGGGUAGUCCAGGCUGUAAACGAUGCGGGCUAGGUGUCACCGGAGCUACGAGCUCCGGUGGUGCCGGAGGGAAGCCGUUAAGCCCGCCGCCUGGGAAGUACGGCCGCAAGGCUGAAACUUAAAGGAAUUGGCGGGGGAGCC